GCAACAGCUCAAAUUUGAAAUCUGGCGCAAGCCCGAGUUGUAAUUUGCAGAGGAUGUUUCGGGUGAAGCCACGGUCCAAGUCCCUUGGAACAGGACGUCAUAGAGGGUGAGAACCCCGUACCUGGCCGUCGGUGCCCCCCGCUGUGAAACUCCUUCGACGAGUCGAGUUGUUUGGGAAUGCAGCUCUAAAUUGGUGGUAAAUUCCAUCUAAAGCUAAAUACCGGCCAGAGACCGAUAGCGCACAAGUAGAGUGAUCGAAAGAUGAAAAGCACUUUGAAAAGAGAGUUAAAAAGUACGUGAAAUUGUUGAAAGGGAAGCGCUUGCGGCCAGACUUGCCCGCGGUUGCUCAGCCCGCCUUUUGGCGGGUGCACUCUUCCGCGGUCAGGCCAGCAUCGGUUUGGGCGGUCGGAUAAAGGCGCCGGGAACGUGGCCUCCCCUCGGGGAGGUGUUAUAGCCCGGCGCGCAAUGCGACCAGCCCGGACCGAGGUUCGCGCUUUGCUAGGAUGCUGGCGUAAUGGCCGUAAGCGGCCCGUCUUGAAACACGGACCAAGGAGUCUAACAUCUAUGCGAGUGUUUGGGUGUCAAACCCGUGCGCGUAAUGAAAGUGAACGGAGGUGGGAACCGCAAGGUGCACCAUCGACCGAUCCUGAUGUCUUCGGAAGGAUUUGAGUAAGAGCAUAGCUGUUGGGACCCGAAAGAUGGUGAACUAUGCGUGAAUAGGGUGAAGCCAGAGGAAACUCUGGUGGAGGCUCGCAGCGGUUCUGACGUGCAAAUCGAUCGUCAA
This 784-nucleotide ribosomal RNA is filed under the name Venturia tremulae. Its description in RNAcentral is "partial large subunit ribosomal RNA". It matches the Rfam family "Eukaryotic large subunit ribosomal RNA", at positions 101 to 908 of the family's 3401-position model. RNAcentral also lists the same sequence under 2 other names. Lineage: Eukaryota; Fungi; Ascomycota; Dothideomycetes; Venturiales; Venturiaceae. The record is from RNAcentral.